GUUGUUAACUAAUAAUUAUGAAAAUUGAGAUGUGUUGCUUUGACACAUAGUAAAAUGGAGAUGAUUCAAACUUAUGUAAAUCAUUAUUGAGUGAUCAUACGUGCACGGAAUGAUAACAGCGAUGCAAAGAUACAAAUUUCCACUCAUGAAGGCAGAUAGACGCCUACAUACCCUCGUCACCAUUUAAACAUGCUCCAACUUUAUAUCAAGUGCUUAAUCUUUCCCAGGCUACAAAAGUUGUCCAACGUGGAAUUGAGACCUUCCAGAUUAGGAAAUUGAUUCAAAUUAAAUAUAUCUUCAAAAUGCAACAGUAUAAAUGAAUUAUCCAGACAAUUUAUAAUCAUGCAGCACAAACUACCGUUUAUACAUUUUUAAUCCUGCCACAG
Molecule: long non-coding RNA, 386 nt
Filed under: Mytilus galloprovincialis (Mediterranean mussel)
Lineage: Eukaryota; Metazoa; Mollusca; Bivalvia; Mytilida; Mytilidae
Source: RNAcentral